GCCAACAUCUAUAUCAUCCUGCAACUCACAACUGGCAACCCUUGAAACUAAGCAGGUGUGAGCCUAGCCAGGACUUGGAUGGGAGACCUCCUGGGAAAGUUAAGGAUGUUGCUGGUA
RNAcentral lists this ribosomal RNA (117 nucleotides) under Lepisosteus oculatus (spotted gar). The record is from RNAcentral. Lineage: Eukaryota; Metazoa; Chordata; Actinopteri; Semionotiformes; Lepisosteidae.